UCCGAGUUGACCCCGGCAGUCUCCUGCGAGUCCCCGGCCUUACCCGCUGGCAACACAGGACAAGGGUUGCGCUCGUUGCGGGACUUAACCCAACAUCUCACGACACGAGCUGACGACAGCCAUGCACCACCUGUCACCGGCCCCGAAGGACCCCGUAUCUCUACGAGUUUUCCGGCGAUGUCAAACCCAGGUAAGGUUCUUCGCGUUGCAUCGAAUUAAAGAACAUGCUCCGCUGCUUGUGCGGGCCCCCGUCAAUUCUUUUGAGUUUUAGCCUUGCGGCCGUACUCCCCAGGCGGAACACUUAUCGCGUUGGCUGCGGCACAGAGGGAUUCGACUCCCCCCACACCUAGUGUUCAUCGUUUACGGCGUGGACUAC
This 376-nucleotide unclassified non-coding RNA is filed under the name uncultured Actinomycetes bacterium. RNAcentral's name for it is "uncultured actinobacterium contains 16S-23S intergenic spacer region". The record is from RNAcentral. Lineage: Bacteria; Bacillati; Actinomycetota; Actinomycetes.